CCUACGGGUGGCUGCAGUCGAGGAUCUUCGUCAAUGGGCGAAAGCCUGAACGAGCGAUGCCGCGUGCGCGAUGAAGGCCUUCGGGUUGUAAAGCGCGAAGGUGGGGAGAAAAGCCGAAAGGUUUGAUCUAUCCACAGUAAGCUCGGGCUAAGUUCGUGCCAGCAGCCGCGGUAAGACGAACCGAGCGAACGUUGUUCGGAAUCACUGGGCUUAAAGGGCGCGUAGGCGGGCUGUCAAGUCUGGGGUGAAAUCCCGCGGCUCAACCGUGGAACUGCCUCAGAUACUGACGGCCUCGAGGGAGGUAGGGGCGAGCGGAACUAAUGGUGGAGCGGUGAAAUGCGUUGAUAUCAUUAGGAACUCCGGUGGCGAAGGCGGCUCGCUGGACCUUUUCUGACGCUGAGGCGCGAAAGCUAGGGGAGCAAACGGGAUUAGAUACCCGUGUAGUC
This 446-nucleotide ribosomal RNA is filed under the name uncultured Gemmata sp. RNAcentral describes it as "bacterial SSU rRNA". It matches the Rfam family "Bacterial small subunit ribosomal RNA", at positions 338 to 795 of the family's 1533-position model. Lineage: Bacteria; Pseudomonadati; Planctomycetota; Planctomycetia; Gemmatales; Gemmataceae. The record is from RNAcentral.